Molecule: long non-coding RNA, 3113 nt
Filed under: Sus scrofa (pig)
Lineage: Eukaryota; Metazoa; Chordata; Mammalia; Artiodactyla; Suidae
Description: lncRNA (ENSSSCG00005013813.1)
Source: RNAcentral
CCCCGGGCGGCCGAGCUCCAAGGAGGGCCGGCGCAGCGACACGUGCGAGUACUGUGCGGCAAGGUUCAAGAACUGCAGCAACCUGACGGUGCACCGGCGGAGCCACACCGGCGAGCGGCCUUACAAGUGCGAGCUGUGCAACUACGCGUGCGCGCAGAGCAGCAAGCUCACGCGCCACAUGAAGACGCACGGGCAGAUCGGCAAGGAGGUGUACCGCUGCGACAUCUGCCAGAUGCCCUUCAGCGUCUACAGCACCCUGGAGAAACACAUGAAAAAGUGGCACGGCGAGCACUUGCUGACUAACGACGUCAAAAUCGAGCAGGCCGAGAGGAGCUAAGCGCGCGCGGCCCCGGGCCCCCGCGCACCUGUACAGUGGCCCCGUUGCCAAGCGAGAGAAUGCUGACUUGCCGCCGCGUCGUCGUCGUCGUCACCGCCACUCGGCAGCCCGGGGGAGGCGGCCCCUCCAACCUAACCUGUGUCUGCGAAGUCCUAUGGAAACCCGAGGGUUGAUUAAGGCAGUAAAAAUUGUGGAGCCUUUUAACUGUGCAAUAAUUUCUGUAUUUAUUGGGUUUUGUAAUUUUUUUGGCAUGUGCAGGUACUUUUUAUUAUUAUUCUUUCUGUUGAAAUUCCUUUAAGAGAUUUUGUUGGGUAGCCAUCCCUUCUUCAGUUUCUUCCUUUUUUGUUUUUUUUUAAACCCGGUAGUAGCCUGAGCAAUGACUCCCAAGCUAUCUAGAGGGGAAACAUCUUUUAAAUUAUAAUUUUGGGGGGGAGGGCGCUGCUUUUUUGAAAUCUAAGCUAAGCAUGUGUAAUUUCUUGUGAAGAAGCCAACACUUAAAUGACUUUGAAAGUUGUUUACUUUUUUAGUCCUUCUUUUUUCAGUCCUGAAAUAAAAAGUGGCAUGCUUUUUGUUUUUUUUUUUAAAGGGGGGGUGCAGAUGUACAGCGAUAACAAUCUUUAAAGUUGUAGCACUUUGUUUCAGAUUUGGAAUAUGGGGAUGCAGCACUGAUGUUGUCCCAAAUAACAGAGGCCUUUUCUGUGUUGAUUUCAACCCUACCGUACAUGAGGAAACCUUUGCGUGGUGGUGGCGGCGUGGGGAGAGGCAUCCCCACCCACCAAAAAACCUCAGCACUGCCAGAGACCCAGGGGUUUUUGAGGGAGAUGGCCCAAGAGCGUUCUAAAACUGUGCAUUUCUGGCCGAUCUCCAUUUCUUGGAAUGUCGAUGUGCCCUGAGAUGCCCCCUUCGCUAUUUGCGGUAGAUUAGACUGCCUCCGAUGGGCUGGGGAUACUUUUGGGGGGUGGAUGGUGGUGGCCCGCAGGAACUCCAAACACAAGAAACCAGCGGUGUCCUUUCAGGCGUCUCCUGGCUUGACUGCUUCUCUCUAGCUUUUUAAUCACCCCCACCACAGAAAUCCUAAGUCACAUGUUGCUACAGGGGACAACCGAUCGUUUCUCAAGCAGACAAGUGUCCUGAUGGCAAAAUGAGGGAAGUUCGCAUUCUCUCUUGUCAUGCAUCCUGAUGCCCUGGUGCAGACAGGCAGGGGGAAAUCUCGUGAAUUUCAGUUCCCUUUUUACCAGAAAUCGGGAAGAGUUCCACCCGGAGGUACCCAGCGCUACUUCCCAGGUUUUUUUUGGUGUGUGUGUUUUUUGUUUGUUUGUUUGUUUGUUUUUCUGUCCCAUUAGGUUGGAAAGUACUAAACAUUGGACUGUUGAGAUUAGACAUUUGGAUUCUGUUGACCCGCACUUUAAAGCUUUUGUUUGCAUUUAAAUUAAAUGGCUUCUAAACAAGAAAUUGCAGCAUCUUCUUCAUUUUGGCCCAGAGGUGGGUUAAACUGCAAGGGACCGCUGAGAUUGAGUGUCAGUAUUGCUAAGCGUGGCAUUCACAAUACUGGCACUAUAAAGAACAAAAUAAAAUAAUAAUUUAUUGGACAGUUUUUCUACUGCCAUUCAAUUUGAUGUGAGUGCCUUGAAAACUGAUCUUCCUAUUUGAGUCUCUUGAGACAAAUGCAAAACCUUUUUUUUUUUUUUUUUGAAAUGAAAAGACUUUUUAAAAAAGUAAAACGAGAAAAGUACAUUUCUUUAGAAACAAACAAAGCCACAUUUCCUUUAAAUAAAUUUUUAAAAAUCCUGGUUGAAGACAUGACAAUGCCAUAAGACCCAAUCAAAUGAAGAAAUAAACCCAGCACAACCUUGGACAUCACUAGCUGAAUUAUCCUCAGCCCCUUUUGUCUGUGGGACAACGCUGCUUACAUGUGGAGUGGAGGUGAUUUACUGCUGAAUUAAAACUCAAGUGACACAAGUUACAAGUUGCUAUCGUUGAAUGAAAAAACAAAAACAAUUCAGGAACAACGGCUAAUUUUUUUCUAAAGUUAAAUUUAGUGCACUCUGUCUUAAAAAUACGUUUACAGUAUUGGAUACAUACAAGGGUAAAAAAAAAUUGUGUGUAUGUGUGUUGGAGCGAUCAUUUUUUUUUUCAAAGUUUGCUUAAUAGGUUACAAAAAAAAUGCCACAACGGCUGCGUGUAUAUUGUUUUCUUUUGGUGACGGGGUUUUAGUAUAUAUUAUAUAUAUUAAAAUUUCUUGAUUACUGUAAAAGUGGACCAGUAUUUGUAAUAAUCGAGAAUGCCUGGGCAUUUGACAAAACAAGAAAAAAAAAAAAAACCCUUUUCUUUUCCUUGAAAAUGUUGCAGUAAAAUUUAAAUGGUGGGUCUCUAAUAAUUUGUUCUUGUCACAGUAACUGUAAAGUCGGAGUUUUAGUAAAUUUUUUUCUGCCUUGGGUGUUGAAUUUUUAUUUCAAAAAAAAAAUGUAUAGAAACUUGUAUUGGGGGAUUAAAAGGGGAUUGCUACACCAUGUAGAAAAAGUAUGUAGAAAAAAAAGUGCUUAAUAUUGUUAUUGCUUUGCAGAGAAAAAAAAAAAUCCACAUUUCUGAUCUGUACUUAUUUUUCUCCUCCCACCUCCCUCUGGAAUGGAUAUAUUGGUUGGUUCAUAUAAUGUAGGCACUUGCUGUAUUUUUACUGGAGCUUGUAAUUUUUUAACUGUAAGCUUGUCCUUUUAAAGGGAUUUAAUGUACCUUUUUGUUAGUGAAUUUGGAAAUAAAAAGAAAAAAAAAACAAAAA